This 423-nucleotide ribosomal RNA is filed under the name uncultured bacterium. RNAcentral describes it as "bacterial SSU rRNA". It matches the Rfam family "Bacterial small subunit ribosomal RNA", at positions 355 to 775 of the family's 1533-position model. The record is from RNAcentral.
CGAGGAAUAUUGGUCAAUGGGCGGAAGCCUGAACCAGCCAUCCCGCGUGAAGGAAGAAGGCCUUAUGGGUUGUAAACUUCUUUUCUGUUUGAAGAAUAAGCUUGUCGAGACAUGUGAUGCCGGUAGGACAGGAAUAAGCAUCGGCUAACUCCGUGCCAGCAGCCGCGGUAAUACGGAGGAUGCAAGCGUUAUCCGGAUUUAUUGGGUUUAAAGGGUGCGCAGGUGGUUUAAUAAGUCAGUGGUGAAAGUCUGCCGCUUAACGGUAGGAUUGCCAUUGAUACUGUUGGACUUGAAUAUGGAUGAGGUAGGCGGAAUGUGUAGUGUAGCGGUGAAAUGCUUAGAUAUUACACAGAACACCGAUUGCGAAGGCAGCUUACUAAUCCAUGAUUGACGCUGAGGCACGAAAGCGUGGGGAUCAAACAG